This 194-nucleotide ribosomal RNA is filed under the name uncultured Simplicispira sp. Its description in RNAcentral is "partial 16S ribosomal RNA". It matches the Rfam family "Bacterial small subunit ribosomal RNA", at positions 338 to 524 of the family's 1533-position model. Lineage: Bacteria; Pseudomonadati; Pseudomonadota; Betaproteobacteria; Burkholderiales; Comamonadaceae. The record is from RNAcentral.
CCUACGGGAGGCAGCAGUGGGGAAUUUUGGACAAUGGGGGAAACCCUGAUCCAGCCAUGCCGCGUGCAGGAUGAAGGCCUUCGGGUUGUAAACUGCUUUUGUACGGAACGAAAAGGUCCUUUCUAAUAAAGAGGGCUCAUGACGGUACCGUAAGAAUAAGCACCGGCUAACUACGUGCCAGCAGCCGCGGUAAU